UACGUAGGGUGCGAGCGUUGUCCGGAAUUACUGGGCGUAAAGGGCUCGUAGGUGGUUUGUCGCGUCGUCUGUGAAAUUCUGGGGCUUAACUCCGGGCGUGCAGGCGAUACGGGCAUAACUUGAGUGCCGUAGGGGUAACUGGAAUUCCUGGUGUAGCGGUGAAAUGCGCAGAUAUCAGGAGGAACACCGAUGGCGAAGGCAGGUUACUGGGCAGUUACUGACGCUGAGGAGCGAAAGCAUGGGUAGCGAACAGGGAUUAGAUACCCUGGUAGUCCAUGCCGUAAACGGUAGGCGCUAGGUGUGAGGGUCUUUCUACGACUUUCGUGCCGUAGCUAACGCAUUAAGCGCCCCGCCUGGGGAGUACGGCGCAAGGCUAAAACU
This 381-nucleotide ribosomal RNA is filed under the name uncultured bacterium. RNAcentral's name for it is "bacterial SSU rRNA". It matches the Rfam family "Bacterial small subunit ribosomal RNA", at positions 524 to 901 of the family's 1533-position model. The record is from RNAcentral.